CUACGGGGGGCUGCAGUGGGGAAUAUUGCACAAUGGAGGAAACUCUGAUGCAGCAACGCCGCGUGGAGGAUGACACUUUUCGGAGCGUAAACUCCUUUUAUAUAGGAAGAAGAUGACGGUACUAUAUGAAUAAGCGCCGGCUAACUCCGUGCCAGCAGCCGCGGUAAUACGGAGGGCGCAAGCGUUACUCGGAAUCACUGGGCGUAAAGAGCGUGUAGGCGGAUUAAAAAGUCAGAAGUGAAAUCCUAUAGCUUAACUAUAGAACUGCUUCUGACACUCUUAAUCUAGAAUAUGGGAGAGGUAGAUGGAAUUUCUGGUGUAGGGGUAAAAUCCGUAGAGAUCAGAAGGAAUACCGAUUGCGAAGGCGAUCUACUGGAACAUUACUGACGCUGAGAUGCGAAAGCGUGGGGAGCAAACAGGAUUAGAUACCCGUGUAGUC
RNAcentral lists this ribosomal RNA (439 nucleotides) under uncultured bacterium. RNAcentral's name for it is "partial 16S ribosomal RNA". It matches the Rfam family "Bacterial small subunit ribosomal RNA", at positions 339 to 795 of the family's 1533-position model. The record is from RNAcentral.